This 200-nucleotide unclassified non-coding RNA is filed under the name soil metagenome. RNAcentral describes it as "partial contains internal transcribed spacer 2 and large subunit ribosomal RNA". The record is from RNAcentral.
UCAAUCCCCUCGGGUUUUUGACCUGAUUGGAUUGGACUUGGGUGUUGCCGUUUGGCUCGCCUCAAAAGACUUAGUGGAUCACCGGGUCAACAUGUUAGAUGUAAUAAGUUUCAUCUGGCUUGGCUUGGACGGUCUGCUCAGAACCCACCAUACACUUUUACUCUGACCUCAAAUCAGGUAGGGCUACCCGCUGAACUUAA